CAUGCAGUCGACGGAACGAUGGAGAAGUUUACUUUUUCAGGCGUCGAGUGGCGGACGGGUGAGUAAUGCAUAGGAAUCUGCCCUAUAGUUUGGGAUAACUACUCGAAAGAGUGGCUAAUACCGGAUGUGGACUACGGUUUAAAGCAGGGGACCUUCGGGCCUUGCGCUAUAGGAUGAGCCUAUGUGGGAUUAGCUAGUUGGUGAGGUAAAGGCUCACCAAGGCGACGAUCUCUAGCUGGUCUGAGAGGAUGAUCAGCCACACUGGGACUGAGACACGGCCCAGACUCCUACGGGAGGCAGCAGUGGGGAAUAUUGGACAAUGGGCGGAAGCCUGAUCCAGCAAUACCGCGUGUGUGAAGAAGGCCUUCGGGUUGUAAAGCACUUUUGUCAGGGAGAAUGGCAGUUGAGGUUAAUACCCUUAGCUGUUGAUGUUACCUGAAGAAUAAGCACCGGCUAACUCCGUGCCAGCAGCCGCGGUAAUACGGGGGGUGCAAGCGUUAAUCGGAAUUACUGGGCGUAAAGGGCGCGUAGGCGGUUACUUAAGUUAGAUGUGAAAGCCCCGGGCUUAACCUGGGAAUUGCAUUUAAUACUGGGUAACUAGAGUGUGGUAGAGAGUAGCGGAAUUUCUGGUGUAGCGGUGAAAUGCGUAGAUAUCAGAAGGAACACCAAUGGCGAAAGGCAGCUGCUUGGGCCAACACUGACGCUGAGGCGCGAAAGCGUGGGGAGCAAACAGGAUUAGAUACCCUGUAGUCCACGCCGUAAACGAUGUCUACUU
This 775-nucleotide ribosomal RNA is filed under the name uncultured bacterium. Its description in RNAcentral is "bacterial SSU rRNA". It matches the Rfam family "Bacterial small subunit ribosomal RNA", at positions 54 to 818 of the family's 1533-position model. The record is from RNAcentral.